GGAUUAAGAGCUUGCUCUUAUGAAGUUAGCGGCGGACGGGUGAGUAACACGUGGGUAACCUGCCCAUAAGACUGGGAUAACUCCGGGAAACCGGGGCUAAUACCGGAUAACAUUUUGAACCGCAUGGUUCGAAAUUGAAAGGCGGCUUCGGCUGUCACUUAUGGAUGGACCCGCGUCGCAUUAGCUAGUUGGUGAGGUAACGGCUCACCAAGGCAACGAUGCGUAGCCGACCUGAGAGGGUGAUCGGCCACACUGGGACUGAGACACGGCCCAGACUCCUACGGGAGGCAGCAGUAGGGAAUCUUCCGCAAUGGACGAAAGUCUGACGGAGCAACGCCGCGUGAGUGAUGAAGGCUUUCGGGUUCGUAAAACUCUGUUGUUAGGGAAGAACAAGUGCUAGUUGAAUAAGCUGGCACCUUGACGGUACCUAACCCAGAAAGCCACGGCUAACUACGUGCCAGCAGCCGCGGUAAUACGUAGGUGGCAAGCGUUAUCCGGAAAUUAUUGGGCGUAAAGCGCGCGCAGGUGGUUUCUUAAGUCUGAUGUGAAAGCCCACGGCUCAACCGUGGAGGGUCAUUGGAAACUGGGAGACUUGAGUGCAGAAGAGGAAAGUGGAAUUCCAUGUGUAGCGGUGAAAUGGCGUAGAGAUAUGGAGGAACACCAGUAGGCGAAAGGCGACUUUUCGGGUCUGUAACUGGACACUGAAGGCGCGAAAACCGUGGGGGAGCAAAACAGGGAUUUAGAUACCCCUGGGU
Molecule: ribosomal RNA, 755 nt
Filed under: Bacillus cereus
Lineage: Bacteria; Bacillati; Bacillota; Bacilli; Caryophanales; Bacillaceae
Description: bacterial SSU rRNA
Rfam family: Bacterial small subunit ribosomal RNA
Source: RNAcentral